UUCUAGUGCGUUGUUAGGGGGUUCUAGUGCUGCGUUGUUAGGGGGUUCUAGUGCGUUGUUAGGGGGUUCUAGUGCGUUGUUAGGGGGUUCUAGUGCGUUGUUAGGGGGUUCUAGUGCGUUGUUAGUGGGUUCUAGUGCUGCGUUUUCAGUCCAAAACAUUAAGACAUCGUUUAUAUUCAGGCUGUCACAGUAAAGUCACGUUCCAAUCUUGGGGAAACCCAACGAGCGCCCCCACCACGGCCGCCCCCCCCCCCCCCC
Long non-coding RNA from Gadus macrocephalus (Pacific cod), 258 nucleotides. RefSeq lists it as uncharacterized. The transcript has 2 exons. The record is from RefSeq and is a predicted model, not a curated record. Lineage: Eukaryota; Metazoa; Chordata; Actinopteri; Gadiformes; Gadidae.